UAGCCUAGUGGUUAAGGCUAUGGAUAGCCAAUCCGGAGACGGCGGGUUCGAUUCCCGU
Aedes albopictus (Asian tiger mosquito) is the source of this 58-nucleotide non-coding RNA. NCBI's taxonomy places the organism in Eukaryota, Metazoa, Arthropoda, Insecta, Diptera, Culicidae. The record is from Rfam.